Molecule: transfer RNA, 76 nt
Filed under: Synergistaceae bacterium
Lineage: Bacteria; Thermotogati; Synergistota; Synergistia; Synergistales; Synergistaceae
Description: tRNA-Glu
Rfam family: tRNA
About the family: Transfer RNA (tRNA) molecules are approximately 80 nucleotides in length. Their secondary structure includes four short double-helical elements and three loops (D, anti-codon, and T loops). Further hydrogen bonds mediate the characteristic L-shaped molecular structure. tRNAs have two regions of fundamental functional importance: the anti-codon, which is responsible for specific mRNA codon recognition, and the 3' end, to which the tRNAs corresponding amino acid is attached (by aminoacyl-tRNA synthetases). tRNAs cope with the degeneracy of the genetic code in two manners: having more than one tRNA (with a specific anti-codon) for a particular amino acid; and 'wobble' base-pairing, i.e. permitting non-standard base-pairing at the 3rd anti-codon position.
Source: RNAcentral
GGUCCCAUCGUCUAGAGGCCUAGGACACCGCCCUUUCAAGGCGACGGCACGGGUUCGAAUCCCGUUGGGACCGCCA